CGUUAAGUGGAAAAGGAUGUGGGAUUUCGAAGACAACCAGGAUGUUGGCUCAGAAGCAGCCAUCCAUUCAAAGAGUGCGUAAUAGCUCACUGGUCGAGAGGUCCUGCGCCGAAAAUGUCCGGGGCUGAAACGCGCCACCGAAACUAAGGAACCGAAAGGUUGGUAGAGGAGCAUUGCAUGCGGGAAGAAGCAGUACCGUAAGGAGCUGUGGACUGCAUGGAAGAGAGAAUGCCGGAAUGAGUAGCGAGAAUAAGGUGAGAAUCCUUAUGGCCGAAUAUCCAAGGUUUCCAGAGUAAAGCUGAUCUGCUCUGGGUAAGUCGGGGCCUAAGGCGAGGACGAGAGUCGUAGCCGAUGGACAACAGGUGGAGAUUCCUGUACUGCGGUAUGACAGAACUGUGGGGACACGUAAGGAAAGCGGAAGCCGGGAAUGGAAAGCCCGGUGCAAGCGGGGUACCAGUCACUUUGGCAAAUCCGGGUGGCAAUGGGAAGCCGUGAUGCGGAGCGAAAUAAAGUAGCGAAGUCCGUGAGCCAUGCGUCAAGAAAAGCCGCUAUCGUUUAUACCGUACCCGUACCGUAAACCGACACAGGUGGAUGAGGAGAGAAUCCUAAGGCCGGCGGAAGAAGCAUUGUCAAGGAACUCGGCAAAAUGGCCCCGUAACUUAGGGAUAAGGGGUGCCUGGGAAACCAGGCCGCAGAGAAUAGGCUCAAGCAACUGUUUAGCAAAAACACAGGUCUAUGCGAAACCGAAAGGUGAGGUAUAUGGGCUGACGCCUGCCCGGUGCUGGAAGGUUAAGAGGAGAGGUUAGCGCAAGCGAAGCUUUGAAUUUAAGCCCCAGUAAACGGCGGCCGUAACUAUAACGGUCCUAAGGUAGCGAAAUUCCUUGUCGGGUAAGUUCCGACCCGCACGAAAGGCGUAAUGAUUUGAGCGCUGUCUCGACAAUGCAUCCGGUGAAAUUGAAGUACCAGUGAAGAUGCUGGUUACCUGCGCCAGGACGGAAAGACCCCAUGGAGCUUUACUCCAGUCUGGUACUGGGACUCGGUAUUGCAUGUACAGGAUAGGUGGGAGGCUAGGAGAUGGUAACGCCAGUUGCCAUGGAGCCGCUGUUGGGAUACCACCCUUGCAGUAUUGGGUUUCUAACCAGCCGCCGUGACCCGGCGGUGGGACAAUGCCAGACGGGGAGUUUGACUGGGGCGGUCGCCUCCGAAAGGGUAUCGGAGGCGCCCAAAGGUUCCCUCAGAAUGGACGGAAACCAUUCGAAGAGUGCAAAGGCAGAAGGGAGCUUGACUGCGACACCGACGGGUGGAGCAGGUACGAAAGUAGGACUUAGUGAUCCGGUGGUAUAAAGUGGGAUUGCCAUCGCUCAACGGAUAAAAGCUACCCUGGGGAUAACAGGCUUAUCACUCCCAAGAGUUCACAUCGACGGAGUGGUUUGGCACCUCGAUGUCGGCUCAUCGCAUCCUGGGGCUGUAGUAGGUCCCAAGGGUUGGGCUGUUCGCCCAUUAAAGCGGUACGCGAGCUGGGUUCAGAACGUCGUGAGACAGUUCGGUCCCUAUCCGGCGUGGGCGUAGGAUAUCUGAGAGGAGCUGUCCUUAGUACGAGAGGACCGGGAUGGACGGGCCGCUGGUGCAUCGGUUAGACUGCCAAGUCUACGGCCGAGUAGCCAAGCCCGGAAGGGAUAAACGCUGAAGGCAUCUAAGCGUGAAGCCCCCCUCAAGAUGAGAUAUCCCAUAACGUAAGUUAGUAAGACCCCUUGAAGACGACGAGGUAGAUAGGCAGAAGGUGGAAGUGUGGUGACAUAUGGAGCUGAUCUGUACUAAUAGGUCGAGGGCUUAACCAA
Molecule: ribosomal RNA, 1838 nt
Filed under: human gut metagenome
Description: bacterial LSU rRNA
Rfam family: Bacterial large subunit ribosomal RNA
Source: RNAcentral